AUUGAACGCUGGCGGCAGGCCUAACACAUGCAAGUCGAGCGGAUGAAGGGAGCUUGCUUCUGGAUUCAGCGGCGGACGGGUGAGUAAUGCCUAGGAAUCUGCCUGGUAGUGGGGGAUAACGUCCGGAAACGGGCGCUAAUACCGCAUACGUCCUGAGGGAGAAAGUGGGGGAUCUUCGGACCUCACGCUAUCAGAUGAGCCUAGGUCGGAUUAGCUAGUUGGUGGGGUAAAGGCCUACCAAGGCGACGAUCCGUAACUGGUCUGAGAGGAUGAUCAGUCACACUGGAACUGAGACACGGUCCAGACUCCUACGGGAGGCAGCAGUGGGGAAUAUUGGACAAUGGGCGAAAGCCUGAUCCAGCCAUGCCGCGUGUGUGAAGAAGGUCUUCGGAUUGUAAAGCAAUUUAAGUUGGGAGGAAGGGCAGUAAGUUAAUACCUUGCUGUUUUGACGUUACCAACAGAAUAAGCACCGGCUAACUUCGUG
Molecule: ribosomal RNA, 484 nt
Filed under: uncultured bacterium
Lineage: Bacteria
Description: partial 16S ribosomal RNA
Rfam family: Bacterial small subunit ribosomal RNA
Source: RNAcentral